Molecule: RNase P RNA, 287 nt
Filed under: uncultured Chlamydiales bacterium
Lineage: Bacteria; Pseudomonadati; Chlamydiota; Chlamydiia; Chlamydiales
Description: partial rnpB
Rfam family: Bacterial RNase P class A
About the family: Ribonuclease P (RNase P) is a ubiquitous endoribonuclease, found in archaea, bacteria and eukarya as well as chloroplasts and mitochondria.
Source: RNAcentral
ACCAGAGAAACUCUGGGGACCGUAAGGUUACGGAAAGUGCAACAGAAAACAUUCCGCUUUUCAGUAUCCUUUACUGAGGAGACAGGCUGAAAAUUCUGGUUUUAGGAAUCAGAGUCAUUAAGGCAACUUAAUGUACAUGCAAACCCUAUCUGAAGCAAGGGAGGAGGUUUUUUCUGUUUCUGCAGAGUGCUUACCAAGCACACCUCUGAAAAACGCUUGAGGAACUUGGUGACAAGUUCCCUAGAUGAAUGAUUGCCCUUUGAAGGGGCCUCACGGCCUCUUCUUAG